Long non-coding RNA from Cyprinus carpio (common carp), 1519 nucleotides. The record is from Ensembl. Lineage: Eukaryota; Metazoa; Chordata; Actinopteri; Cypriniformes; Cyprinidae.
CAACAUGUAAUGCAGUGUUUUUUGUUUUAAAUUGAGUCUUUUUUAUUUUUUUUAUAUAUAUAUUUUCAAAAAAUCACAAAAAAAAAUAACAUUUCAAGAAAUUAUUUAGCAGUAUGUUUUUUAAUAAUGAUGAAAAAGGGGGAAGUUCAAGACUACAUGUUUGUUUUGGAAGCUUGCUAAAUGUGUUCUUGUAAUUUGAAACUUUCAACAAAUGAAUAGCGAUUUUAGUAUUAAGGUUCACAUCAGCUCUCAUAACAAUAAGAAUCUCCUUUGCCAUUAUAAGCACAGUUGUUUUGUAUCUAGAAAAAUAACACGUGAGGCCUUGUGAAUAUGACAAAUCUCUUGCGGAUUUAAGCAGCGCUGAACUUCAGUGCUCAUCACACUUUCACAUGAAUUGUUCUCAUCCAACCAUCACUUUUUUCUGUCCUAUUAUGAAGUGUGUGUAAAAAAACAACAGUAAUCGUUUGUUUCCACAGUUGUAAACCGUGAAACCUCGAAGAGCGUGACUCCAUCCUAACAAUUAUCCUAAAAAAUGGGAAAAAGCCAUCAGCUCCAGACUCACAAAAAGAGAGAGGGGGGCGGGGGAAGCAAGUUGUUAUUUUGCCCGAAGCACAGCUAACUGCAUCAACAAAAAAAAUGUACGGUCUGUACAGAGCGCUGUGUGACACAGGAAAGCCAGUCAUUUUAAUAAAAAAGGACAGUUCUUUUGUGAAAAAGUGCUGAGCCCUUUGCAUUCUAGGCAGAGAGAAAAAUGUUUAAAUAUCCAGAUUUUUAUUCUAUCUGAUAUGUGGUUGUGUGCGUGUUAGGGUGUGCUGGUGCUUUAAGAGCAUGGAAAUCAGGGUCUCCUCCAAGUGAUCUCCAGGGAGUUCAGCUGAGUUUGAAGUACAAAUGCUGAAUUUAUUUAACCUCUUUACAAAUGUGCAUAUAUAUUCCAUUCUUUCAGCCUCAUUUCCAUAAAAAUUUAUCUUAAAGACAUCGGGAAGUGUUUUUAAUUAAGUUUAAUGACAGAGGCUUUUUUUGUCCUUGACAAGUUAGUUAUAGUUUAAAAUGACAAUAUUCAUUAAAAUUCUCUAUGUGGUGCUUACAUUUCAGAAAAAGAUUGGUGUGUUUGCUACAUGCUUUAUGAUAAAGUGUUAGUUGUAUGUCUCUAUUAUCUGUGAGAAUGUGAGAAAAUAAUCACUCGCGAUAGGCUCGUGUUUUACAAUAACGUGUGCUGACAGUUGGUGAUGAUGGGCUUUGAACCAAAUCACAGAAAUUGCGUUACCAGAAAUCAUGCGAGACGUGGAAACUUCUUAAAUUGGAUGUUGUAAUCGAAUUGCAACAUUUAAAGAUCUCUGUGAAAAACGGCAAAUGCAUGCUUGUAUGUGUGGGUUGUUGAAGCCUGUUUCAUCAAUUAAAUUGUUUAAUAUGUAAUAUUAUUCAUGUUUUACAUAAUUAAAAAAUGACAGUUAUGAAGUAUAGAGAGAACUGGGGUUAUUGUGUUACUUCUUGUGUUUUGAUCAUUUAUUGAGAAAUGAUU